UAAUUUAACAAUAUGAGGAUUGGAUUGGGGAUGAUGAUGCCAUGACGAUCCUGUGAGACUUUACACCGCCGGUGGAUCACAGCCACCAGACGACGACGACGGAGCUGCUGAUCGGAGAAGUCUAUUCACAAAUUCUAAUCUGUGUUCCAUACUCGUCGAUUCAGUUCGAUUGCUAUCAAGAACAACUAUUUAAUUAAAGACGAUAAAUCGAACCAAAGCUCCCUGUCUUUGAAGAAAACUCGUCCUCCUCGAGUUUUGUCUCCGGGCCAAAGCCACCUGGAUCAAAAGGAACAUCAAUCCGAUUCUGAUUUAUCAUCACCGCCCUUCUAUACUAAUACAGUUCAACAUCACGGUUCUCGUGCAAGUUAAGGACGGCUUAGACGUUUUUGCUUUGCUUUGUUAAAGUAAGAUACGCGUAGGCGAUUGAUCAGACCCAUGGCUCAAGGACAAGCCCAGGCGCGAUCCAGGGCCACAAACAAGAUCGCUCUAGCAUCCCUAUCAGCAAUGGUAGCAGAAACCACCACUUUCCCCAUCGACAUCACCAAAACCAGGCUUCAAUUACACGCAACUGCUCGCCCAGUCUCCGCAUUUCAGGUCGCCACCGACAUUAUUCGCAAACAAGGUGUAACAGGACUCUACAAGGGCCUGUCACCCGCCCUUCUUAGACACCUUUUCUACACACCCAUUCGAACCGUUGGUUACGAGCAAUUGCGUCAUGCUUUCAUUUCUCAUGAUAAUCAUUCUCUUUCUCUACCGAGCAAGGCCCUCAUUGGAGGGAUUUCUGGCGUUAUUGCUCAGGCGCACUGAAAAUGGCUUGAGGCGCGCGUCUCUUGUACGUUGCGAGUUUUUGUGCAUCACGAUGCUGUAGAGCAGGCUUUUUAGGGCGUACAUGUAGUGCAGGUAGUGGCUAGCCCUGCGGAUCUGGUUAAAGUCAGGAUGCAAGCGGACGGCCGUAUGGUUAGCCAAGGGCUCAAGCCACGGUACACCGGGUCACUUGACGCUCUAACCAAAAUCAUCAACGCCGAAGGAUUUAAAGGACUUUGGAGGGGUGUUUUUCCCAAUAUUCAAAGAGCAUUUUUAGUAAACAUGGGAGAAUUAGCCUGCUAUGAUCAUGCAAAACAUUUUGUUAUUCAUAAUCAAAUUGCUAGCGAUAACAUCUACGCGCACACGUUAGCCGCUAUGAUGUCGGGCCUUACGGCUACAACCAUAAGUUGCCCGGCUGAUGUGGUGAAGACAAGAAUGAUGAACCAGGUGGUUAAUGAAGAUGGCAGUUAUAAAUAUAGAAAUUCUUAUGAUUGUUUGAUAAAGACUGUUAGAUUUGAAGGGUUAAGAGCAUUGUGGAAAGGGUUUUUUCCUACUUGGGCUAGGCUUGGGCCUUGGCAAUUUGUGUUUUGGGUUUCUUAUGAAAAAUUCAGGUUGAUUGCUGGGCUUCCUUCUUUUUAACAUAGCGCAUACGGGCUUUCGGGCUGAAGUUUGGUUAAGAUAAGGAUUGGUUUUGAGCCGGCCUGAUUGGACCGGUUACCAAGGCUAUUCUUUUUACAAAUUUUUGGAUGUUUGUAAGGAGUGACAAAUAUAUUUCAUAAAGUUGUAUGUUUUAAGGGUAUGAAUCAGUUUUCACAGUUACCUAACCAACCCAUUGUAUUUAUUUAUUACUAUUAUUAUUUUUUUA
Helianthus annuus (common sunflower) is the source of this 1669-nucleotide RNA transcript. It is a transcript of the gene named mitochondrial uncoupling protein 3, with no coding region annotated. The record is from RefSeq and is a predicted model, not a curated record. NCBI's taxonomy places the organism in Eukaryota, Viridiplantae, Streptophyta, Magnoliopsida, Asterales, Asteraceae. The transcript is spliced from 6 exons.